RNAcentral lists this ribosomal RNA (492 nucleotides) under uncultured bacterium. Its description in RNAcentral is "partial 16S ribosomal RNA". It matches the Rfam family "Bacterial small subunit ribosomal RNA", at positions 29 to 507 of the family's 1533-position model. The record is from RNAcentral.
AGUGAACGCUGGCGGUAGGCCUAACACAUGCAAGUCGAACGGCAGCACAGUAAGAGCUUGCUCUUACGGGUGGCGAGUGGCGGACGGGUGAGGAAUACAUCGGAAUCUACUUUUUCGUGGGGGAUAACGUAGGGAAACUUACGCUAAUACCGCAUACGACCUACGGGUGAAUGCAGGGGAUCUUCGGACCUUGCGCGAUUGAAUGAGCCGAUGUCGGAUUAGCUAGUUGGCGGGGUAAAGGCCCACCAAGGCGACGAUCCGUAGCUGGUCUGAGAGGAUGAUCAGCCACACUGGAACUGAGACACGGUCCAGACUCCUACGGGAGGCAGCAGUGGGGAAUAUUGGACAAUGGGCGCAAGCCUGAUCCAGCCAUACCGCGUGGGUGAAGAAGGCCUUCGGGUUGUAAAGCCCUCUUGUUGGGAAAGAAAAGCAGCAGGUUAAUACCCCGCUGUUCUGACGGUGCCCAAAGAAUAAGCACCGGCUAACUUCGUG